RNAcentral lists this small nucleolar RNA (70 nucleotides) under Leptotrombidium deliense. The record is from RNAcentral. Lineage: Eukaryota; Metazoa; Arthropoda; Arachnida; Trombidiformes; Trombiculidae.
AUAACAUGAUGAUCCUUUAAUCGUGAAUACUGUGAGCAAAAAACGUAAACUGAUUUAAUGAGUCUGAUUA